This 516-nucleotide ribosomal RNA is filed under the name Aspergillus flavus. RNAcentral's name for it is "eukaryotic LSU rRNA". The stretch from base 155 to 308 matches the Rfam family "5.8S ribosomal RNA". The record is from RNAcentral. Lineage: Eukaryota; Fungi; Ascomycota; Eurotiomycetes; Eurotiales; Aspergillaceae.
CCUCCCACCCGUGUUUACUGUACCUUAGUUGCUUCGGCGGGCCCGCCAUUCAUGGCCGCCGGGGGCUCUCAGCCCCGGGCCCGCGCCCGCCGGAGACACCACGAACUCUGUCUGAUCUAGUGAAGUCUGAGUUGAUUGUAUCGCAAUCAGUUAAAACUUUCAACAAUGGAUCUCUUGGUUCCGGCAUCGAUGAAGAACGCAGCGAAAUGCGAUAACUAGUGUGAAUUGCAGAAUUCCGUGAAUCAUCGAGUCUUUGAACGCACAUUGCGCCCCCUGGUAUUCCGGGGGGCAUGCCUGUCCGAGCGUCAUUGCUGCCCAUCAAGCACGGCUUGUGUGUUGGGUCGUCGUCCCCUCUCCGGGGGGGACGGGCCCCAAAGGCAGCGGCGGCACCGCGUCCGAUCCUCGAGCGUAUGGGGCUUUGUCACCCGCUCUGUAGGCCCGGCCGGCGCUUGCCGAACGCAAAUCAAUCUUUUUCCAGGUUGACCUCGGAUCAGGUAGGGAUACCCGCUGAACUUA